GUGUAAUGUUAAAUGUUCUUAACCACUUGAGCUAUAAUCUCCUUAUUUCUUCAAUAUAAACAAAAAGAAAAUGAUUUACAGCUCAAGUGGUUAAGAGCAGUUACUCUUACAC
RNAcentral lists this microRNA precursor (112 nucleotides) under Prunus dulcis (almond). RNAcentral's name for it is "sRNA ncRNA". The record is from RNAcentral. Lineage: Eukaryota; Viridiplantae; Streptophyta; Magnoliopsida; Rosales; Rosaceae.